GGGAAUUCAGGUGGCUCUCGGUCGAAAGUAAUGACGACAGACCAGAAGCGGGAAGCCGUUGAGUUUAUGUGUGAUGCUGGUUCAAUGACCUCAUUGAACCAGCAUUUC
Thelohanellus kitauei is the source of this 108-nucleotide regulatory RNA element. It matches the Rfam family "Insertion sequence IS1222 ribosomal frameshifting element". From Rfam's summary of the family: This family represents the insertion sequence IS1222 ribosomal frameshifting element. The record is from Rfam. NCBI's taxonomy places the organism in Eukaryota, Metazoa, Cnidaria, Myxozoa, Bivalvulida, Myxobolidae.